This is a non-coding RNA of Ictidomys tridecemlineatus (thirteen-lined ground squirrel), 72 nucleotides long. The record is from Rfam. NCBI's taxonomy places the organism in Eukaryota, Metazoa, Chordata, Mammalia, Rodentia, Sciuridae.
GGGGUUGUGGCUCAGUGGUAGAGUGCUUGCCUGGCAUGCGAGAGGCACUGGGUUCGAUCCUCAGCAACACAU